UCCUGAAUGGCUCAGAUGGUAAAGAAUCUGCCUGUAAUGCAGGAGACCCAGGUUUGAUCCGUGGGUCAGGAA
RNAcentral lists this transfer RNA (72 nucleotides) under Bos taurus (domestic cattle). It matches the Rfam family "tRNA". From Rfam's summary of the family: Transfer RNA (tRNA) molecules are approximately 80 nucleotides in length. Their secondary structure includes four short double-helical elements and three loops (D, anti-codon, and T loops). Lineage: Eukaryota; Metazoa; Chordata; Mammalia; Artiodactyla; Bovidae. The record is from Rfam by way of RNAcentral. RNAcentral also lists the same sequence under 3 other names.